UUAGUAUUUAUACGAAGCUAUUUUAGUGGCGGACGGGUGAGUAACACGUGGGUAACCUGCCCUAUGGAGGGGGAUAACACAGAGAAAUUUGUGCUAAUACCGCAUAACAUAACGAUAUCGCAUGGUAUUGUUAUCAAAGAUUUAUUGCCAUAGGAUGGACCCGCGGCCCAUUAGCUAGUUGGUGAGGUAACGGCUCACCAAGGCGACGAUGGGUAGCCGAUCUGAGAGGAUGAACGGCCACAUUGGAACUGAGACACGGUCCAGACUCCUACGGGAGGCAGCAGUGGGGAAUAUUGCACAAUGGGGGAAACCCUGAUGCAGCAACGCCGCGUGAGUGACGAAGGCCUUCGGGUUGUAAAACUCUGUCUUAGCUGACGAUAAUGACGGUAAGCUAGGAGGAAGCCACGGCUAACUACGUGCCAGCAGCCGCGGUAAUACGUAGGUGGCGAGCGUUGUCCGGAUUUAUUGGGCGUAAAGCGCGUGUAGGCGGUUUCUUAAGUCUGAUGUGAAAGCCCUGGGCUCAACCCAGGAAGUGCAUUGGAUACUGGGAGACUUGAAUACGGGAGAGGGUAGUGGAAUUCCUAGUGUAGGAGUGAAAUCCGUAGAUAUUAGGAGGAACACCGGUGGCGAAGGCGGCUACCUGGACCGAUAUUGACGCUGAGACGCGAAAGCGUGGGGAGCAAACA
Molecule: ribosomal RNA, 686 nt
Filed under: uncultured bacterium
Lineage: Bacteria
Description: bacterial SSU rRNA
Rfam family: Bacterial small subunit ribosomal RNA
Source: RNAcentral